This 578-nucleotide ribosomal RNA is filed under the name uncultured bacterium. RNAcentral's name for it is "bacterial SSU rRNA". It matches the Rfam family "Bacterial small subunit ribosomal RNA", at positions 338 to 916 of the family's 1533-position model. The record is from RNAcentral.
CCUACGGGAGGCAGCAGUAAGGAAUAUUGGUCAAUGGACGAAAGUCUGAACCAGCCAUGCCGCGUGAAGGAUUAAGGCCCUCUGGGUUGUAAACUUCUUUUAUCUGGGACGAAAAAAGGGUAUUCUUACUCACUUGACGGUACCAGAGGAAUAAGCACCGGCUAACUCCGUGCCAGCAGCCGCGGUAAUACGGAGGGUGCAAGCGUUAUCCGGAUUUACUGGGUUUAAAGGGUGCGUAGGUGGGCUUGUAAGUCAGUGGUGAAAUCUCCGGGCUUAACUCGGAAACUGCCAUUGAUACUAUAGGUCUUGAAUUAUCUGGAGGUAAGCGGAAUAUGUCAUGUAGCGGUGAAAUGCUUAGAUAUGACAUAGAACACCAAUUGCGAAGGCAGCUUACUACGGAUAUAUUGACACUGAGGCACGAAAGCGUGGGGAUCAAACAGGAUUAGAUACCCUGGUAGUCCACGCCCUAAACCGAUGGAUACUCGACAUCAGCGAUACACUGUUGGUGUCUGAGCGAAAGCAUUAAGUAUCCCACCUGGGAAGUACGAUCGCAGAUUGAAACUCAAAUGAAUUGACGG